AGCAGCCGCGGUAAUUCCAGCUCCAAUAGCGUAUAUUAAAGUUGUUGCAGUUAAAAAGCUCGUAGUUGAAUUUCGGGAUCAAGGAAUCGGUCAUGCCUUGGUAUGUACUGGUUUUAUUGGUUCUCACCUUCUAAGGAACCAUAAUGUCAUUCAUUUGAUGUUAUGGGGAAUUAGGACUGUUACCUUGAAAAAUUAGAGUGUUUAAAGCAGGCUUACGCUUGAAUACAUUAGCAUGGAAUAAUGAAAUAGGACAUCAGAUUCUAUUUUGUUGGUUUCUAGGAUCGAUGUAAUGAUUAAUAGGGAUAGUUGGGGGCAUUAGUAUUCAAUUGUCAGAGGUGAAAUUCUUGGAUUUAUUGAAGACUAACUACUGCGAAAGCAUUUGCCAAGGAUGUUUUCAUUAAUCAAGAACGAAAGUUAGGGGAUCGAAGACGAUCAGAUACCGUCGUAGUCUUAACCAUAAAACUAU
This 466-nucleotide ribosomal RNA is filed under the name uncultured Glomus. RNAcentral's name for it is "SSU rRNA". It matches the Rfam family "Eukaryotic small subunit ribosomal RNA", at positions 569 to 1040 of the family's 1831-position model. The record is from RNAcentral. Lineage: Eukaryota; Fungi; Glomeromycota; Glomeromycetes; Glomerales; Glomeraceae.